RNAcentral lists this ribosomal RNA (253 nucleotides) under uncultured bacterium. Its description in RNAcentral is "partial 16S ribosomal RNA". It matches the Rfam family "Bacterial small subunit ribosomal RNA", at positions 524 to 776 of the family's 1533-position model. The record is from RNAcentral.
UACGUAGGGUGCGAGCGUUAAUCGGAAUUACUGGGCGUAAAGCGUGCGCAGGCGGUCCACAAAGUCUGAUGUGAAAGCCCCGGGCUCAACCUGGGAACUGCAUUGGAAACUAACGGGCUCGAGUGUGGCAGAGGGGGGUGGAAUUCCACGUGUAGCAGUGAAAUGCGUAGAGAUGUGGAGGAACACCGAUGGCGAAGGCAGCCCCCUGGGCUAACACUGACGCUCAGGCACGAAAGCGUGGGGAGCAAACAGG